RNAcentral lists this small RNA (7493 nucleotides) under Mytilus galloprovincialis (Mediterranean mussel). Lineage: Eukaryota; Metazoa; Mollusca; Bivalvia; Mytilida; Mytilidae. The record is from RNAcentral.
AUGGACCCCAUGGACAUUGAAACUAACGUCAAGAGGAUAGUUGGAGAAGAAAUUCAAAGGUCUCAAAAUGAUUUCUUAAGCAAGUUAGAUGGAAUUUUCACGUCAAGAUUGCAGGCAUUUGGCAACCAACAAAAAGAGCGUUCGGAGGCGCAGAUGUGUAAACUUCAAACUGACAUUUUAACGGCAGAUACAUACAAGUUCCAGAAAAAGAGCUGUGAAGACCAGUUCAAGUUCAACAAGAAGAUGAACGUGACACUAAAAGAAGCAGAAUCUUGUUUGGAUUCUUCAGAUGACAAGUCCGCUCACGCUAAACAGAGAAUUAGUGAAGGUAUAGAACUUUUAGCUUAUCGUCAAAAACUAGUUAAAAUGGCUGAUUCGUCUGAACAUGGUUGGAGAGUAGUCCAAGAAUAUACUUCAAACCCGCUGGCCGAUGAUUCGGAAGACGACAGGAAGAUCAUGAGGGCAACAUCGCGUGCAGAGAGAAAGGCGAAAGUAGAAAAAUCCAAAAAGAAGCGUUCAACUCCAUAUUCUAGACCUUCAACUUCAGUAGAUAAUGGUAACAACAGUGGUGGCGUAAAGUCAGUUAGGAGGCCAGGAGUGUGUUAUAACUGUUAUAAACCAGGCCAUUGGCAGUUUGAAUGUCCAGAAAAGAAUAAGAAGUUAAGUACACAUAGUAAUUUAUUGUUAUAUAAUGAUGUGUAUAGAAAUAGUAAUUCUUUAAGUUUUUUCAUUGAUGAAAGUUUAACAUUGAAAACAGCUAAUUUGAACAAAGCUCACUUACUAGAUUCUGGCAAUGAUAGUAUUUGUUUACUCAACCGUGAGGAAUGUGUAGAUCAAUUGUCUAGACAUUUAAAUACACCCACGAAAUUGAUCAGUCCCGUAGGUAAACUCAGCUCAUCGAUACACAAAUGGAAACAAGCGGGUGCGACUGAUUAUAUUUUACAGGUAAUAGAAAAAGGUUACGGUAUACCUUUUAAAGAACUUCCUGAAAAUGUAUUUUUGCCUAAUAACAAAUCUUCGAGAGACAAUGGAGAUUUUGUUGCAAGCGAGAUAUCUAAAUUAUUAGAAAAAGGUUGUAUUUCUAAGGUUGAUAAUAAGCCAUUUGUUAUUAAUCCGCUUACGGUAGCUUUUAAUAGAUUACAAAAACCUAGAUUAGUGUUAGAUUGCAGGCACAUUAACAGUUGCAUACACCAAUUUAAAUUUAAAUUUGAAGAUGCAUCGGUGGCAAGAGAAUUAUUUGAAAAGGGAGAUUAUCUAUUUAGAUAUGAUUUAAAAAGUGCAUAUCAUCAUAUUGAAAUAAGAGAGGAGCACAAGCAAUAUUUAGGUUUUAGUUGGGUUAUUGACGGAGUGGCUAACUAUUUUGUUUUCAAUGUUCUUCCUUUUGGUAUUGCAAGUGCAGGACAUAUUUUUACAAAAGUUUUGAAAGAGGUGGUUAAGUACUGGAGAAAACAGGGAUUAAAGAUAAUUAUGUAUCUUGAUGAUGGUUUGGGUGGAGCUAGUGAUUUAGUUUCUGCUAAAAGAGCUAGUGAUUAUAUUAGAAAGAGUUUGUCUGAUUUUGGUUUUCUUAUAGCUGAGGACAAAUGUAUUUGGUAUCCACAACAAAACUUGAUUUGGAUAGGUUUAGUGUGGGAUAUGUAUUUAGGCAGAAUUCAGAUUACUCAAGAGCGAGUGGAUAGGUUGUUAUUAAGUAUUGUAAAAAUUCUUGAUGGUGUCAGUAAAGGGAAAAUUUUAUACAGAGCAAAACUGGUUGCUUGUAUUGUUGGACAAAUUAUUUCAAUGCAAGUUGUUUUUGGAAGUCUGGUAAGAUUAAGGACAAGGGAAUUAUACCAGUGUAUAGUUCUUAGAGCCAGUUGGAAGUCACUGGUUGCUUUGACAGCUCCAGCGGUUGGUGAGCUUAGAUUUUGGUUAAAUUCAGUAAAUGAUCUGAAUGAGAUGGGUGUGAAUCUGCAUGAGUCAGAUUUGUAUGAUCUUAAGGCUUAUACGGAUGCAUCAGAUAUUGGUUUUGGGGGAUUUGUUGUCCCUGCUAUUGAUAGCAAUAGUGCUGAGUCGGUCUGUGACUCUAGCGAUGUUCAGAUGAACAGUAGUCUGAUAACGCCCAGAAAUAGUUUGCACACUGUAGUGGGUAGUUGGGCAGAUCAUGAGAGGAUCAAGAGUUCUACAUGGCGUGAACUCGAGGCAGUCAAUAGAACAGUUAAAAGUUCUCUGCAUUUGAUUAAGAAUCAGACAUUACAAAUUAAUACAGAUAAUAAGAAUGUUACUAGCAUAGUAAAAAACGGGAGUAGGAAAACCGACCUUCAGGUUUUAGCAUGUGAAUUGCACACAUUAUGCUUUGAAAAUAGUUGUAAAAUUACGACACAAUGGAUACCUAGAGACCAAAAUAAAGUGGCAGACAAUCUGAGUAGAUACUCUGAUUGUGAUGACUGGGGUAUCAGUACUGAAGUCUUUAAUAGCUUAGAUAAUAUAUGGGGUAUUCAUACAGUGGACAGAUUUGCCACAGACUAUAACACUAAAUGUACAAGAUUUAAUUCUAAAUUUUGGUGUAAUUGUACAGAAGCAGUAGAUGCUUUUAAACAAAGUUGGAAAGGCGAAAACAAUUGGGUCGUCCCACCGCCUAAUUUGGUUUGUAAAGUUAUUAGAAAAUUUUUGGAAGACGAGGCAAACGGUACUUUAGUAGUUCCUUUUUGGAAAUCUGCGCCUUAUUGGGUGUUAUUGUGUGAAUCAAACGGGAAUUUUAAACGUUUUAUAAACAACAAAAAAUUCUUGACAGAAGAGAAUUCUGUUAUUACAGGGAGAGGUAAUAAUGGUUUAUUUGGGAAACAAGGAACAUUAACGAUGCUUGCAUUUAAGAUAAGAUUUGAUUGAUGUGUUUUUUAUUUUUUGGAACAGGCUUAAACAUUGAGCAGUUUGUGCACGAAGCCGUGGAGGACAGUGGAAUUGAAGAGGGACAUUCGUUACAUAAUUUAGUGAGGAGUUUAUCUACACGGUUACUAGAUGCCAGAAGUGAAAGUACUGAAGAAAAAAAAUAUUAUUACGGUUUUAUGAAAUGGAAAAGAUUUUGUAUAGAACAUAGUUUACUUUCUUUGCCAGCAUCGCCAAUUCAUAUAGCAUUAUAUUUUGUACAUUUAUUAGAUAAUGGUGGUACAUUUAGUACUGUUAACACUGCUUUUUACUCCGUUAAGUGGGCUCACGAAAUUUGUGGUCAGUUAGAUCCAACUAGCAACACAUUUGUGAAAAAUUUACUCGAGUCUGCUAAGCGAACUGCAAAAAACCCUGUCAACAAGAAAGAUCCAGUGUCUAAAGAUAUUUUAAUUGAUUUAUGUAGUAUGUAUCAAUAUUCCAAUGAUUUAACAGUUGUACGAGAUCUUGUCAUGAUUUUGUUAAGUUUUAGUGCUUUUCUACGUUUUAGUGAAUUGAGUCAAUUGAAAUGCAAUGAUGUCACAAUUAAAGAAGGUUAUUUGGUACUUAAAAUUAGGAAGAGUAAGACUGACCAGUAUAGAGCUGGAGAUGAGGUGUUGGUAUCUAAGGGGCAGUCUUUAGCUUGUCCUUAUUCUAUGUUUUUAAGAUAUCUUGGUUUGGCGAAUAUUGAAAUAUCCACAGACAUGUAUUUAUUUCGUCCUUUGUAUAGAUCUAAAGAUAAAUGUGGUUUGAUUAAGGUUAACAGGCCUAUAAGUUAUACUACUGCAAGAGAAUGUAUGAUAAAGCGUUUGAAAAUGGUUGCUCCAGAGCUUAACCUUGGUUUACAUUCUUUACGGUCAGGAGGUGCCACUUCGGCUGCUAAUGCAGGUGUUAAUGACAGGUGUUGGAAAAGACACGGAAGGUGGAAGAGUGAUUCAAGUAAGGAUGGUUAUGUAGCAGAUUCGGUUGCUAACCGAUUACAAGUUUCAGAGCAUUUAGGUUUAUAAAUUGUUAUUGUGUUCAAAAUGUUUUGCUGUUUAGCUGUCCUUUAUUUGAAGGUUUUUGUUUUGUACAUUACUGUGAUUAUUACCAAUUGGUCAGUUUUUUUCUUUAUACUCUAUCUUUGUUGUUCUAUAUACGCAGCGAGCUAGUCAACAAACUUAAGUUUGUAGUUGAGUUAUUUUUCUUAGAUGCUAAGGUACAUGAGUAUAGAGAAGACUUGUUUGUUCUGGCUCUACCAAUUGCAUCAUAAGAGGAUAUGUACUCGUCAAUAUACCAAAUUUUCUAAUAUGUAAGAAUAGAACGAACCAAAUUAAAACACCAAUAAACAGAAAAAUAUGCCUACUCGUAUAGCUUUUGAUAUAAAACAGAACUUUGAGAUAGCUUGGUUGUUGGGUUUUUUUUUUUGGAACAAAGCGGUGUAUACAACAUAGAUUUUGUAUAGGUAAUAAGCGUAUAGGCGUAAGACAAAUACCAAUAAAUCAAUCAAUCUUAAUUUUGUUUUUAUGUUCCUUACAGAGUCUUGCAAGAACACUUACUGGAAAACGCUUUAUUAAUAUGAUAUACGGGGUAGACCAAUAAGUCACAAUAAGUCACAAUAUAAAUGGUAAUCUGCAGAGAGGCAAGCUAGCAGAGGCUGGCAAUAAAGAUUCUGCAAGUGACAUUUGUGCUAAAGAAAUUACUCAAUAGUCAGAGUAGAGACACGUGAGAACACAUAUUGGUGAAAAACCUCAUGACUGUGAUGUAUGUGGUAAAGGGUUUCUAGUUUACAGAGACACAUGAUAACACACACAGGUGAUAAACCUCAUGAGUGUGAUGUGUGUGGUAAAGCCUUUAAUCUCCUUGGUAAUUUACAGAUUCACAUGAGAACACACACAGAUGAGAAACCACAUAACUGUAAUAUAUGUGGUAAACUGUUUAAUCAGUAUAGUAAUUUACAGAGUCACAUGAGAAAACAUACAGGAGAUAAACCAUAUAAUUGUGAAUUAUGUGGUAAACGGUUUAGUCAGCAUGGUAUUUUACAGAGACAUAUAAGAAUACAUACAGGUGAUAAACCUUAUGACUGUAAUGUAUGUGGUAAAGGAUUUAGUGAGCAAGGUAAUUUACAGAAUCACAUGAGAACACAUACAGGUGAUAAACCUUAUCAAUGUGAUGAAUGUGAUAAAAGGUUUAAUCAUCCUAGUAAUUUACAACGUCACAUAAGAACACAUACAGGUGAUAAACCUCAUAGCUGCGAUGUAUGUGGUAAAAGGUUCAGUGAGCAAGGUAGUUUACAAAUUCACAUGAGAACACAUACAGAAGAUAAACCUCAUGAAUGUGAUGUAUGUGGUAAACGGUUUACUCAGCUUGUUAGUUUACAAAUUCACAUAAGAAUACAUACAGGCGAUAAACCUCAUUACUGUGAUGUAUGUGGCAAAAGGUUUAGUCGACUUGGUAAUUUACAAAGUCACAUGAGAACACAUACAGGCGAUAGACCGCAUGUCUGUGAUGUAUGUGGGAAAAGUUUCAGUCAGCAUAGUAGUUUAAAAAGACACACGGGAACUCAUACAGGUGACAAACAUGAUAAACCUCAUGACUGUGAUGUAUGUGGUAAAGGGUUUAGUCAGCUUAGUAGUUUACAGAUUCACAUGAGAACACAUACAGGGGAAAAACCUUAUAACUGUGGUGUAUGUGGUAAAAGGUUCAGUCAGCGUAGUGAUUUACAAAGACACAUGAGAACUCAUACACCUGACAAACCGCAUGUCUGUGAUGUAUGUGGUAAAAGUUUCAGUCAGCAUAGUAGUUUACAAAGACACACGAGAACUCAUACAGGUGACAAACCGCAUGUCUGUGAUGUAUGUGGUAAAAGUUUCAUUCAGCAUAGUAGUUUACAGAGCCACAUGAGAACUCACACAGGUGAAAAACCGCAUGACUGAGGUGUAUUAUCACAUGAUUAUGUUAAGAGUUUUGUCCUCAUAGUAAUAUUAUAUACUGAUAGAUUCACAUACACAAAACAUACAGGUGAUAAACCUCACGACAGUGGUGUUUGUGAUUAGGGUUUAGUCCGUAUGUUGACGUAACGAGACACAUUGGAAUACAUACUGGACAUCAAGAUGUACUUACCAUGCAUACUGGUCAGUGAACAUCAAACUCAUUAACAAAAUGUUUGUAGUUGAGGGUACAGUUGAGUGGUAAUUUACAUAGACACACGAGAACAUGUACAAGCGAUGUCUGUCAUCAAGGUGACAGUGGUAAUUUACAUAGACAGGUGUACAGUCUAGCGAUGUCUGUCAUCAAGGUGAGAGUGGUAAUUUACAUAUACAGGUGAGAGUGAUAAUUUACAUAGACAUGUGACAGUGGUAAUUUACAUAUAUAGGUGAGAGUGGUAAUUUACAUAGACACACGAGAACAUGUACUAGCGAUGUAUGUCGUCAAGGUGACAGUGGUAAUUUGCAUAGACAGGUGACAGUGGAAAUUUACAUAGACACACGAAAACAUGUACUAGCGAAGUAUGUCAUCAAGGUGACAGUGGGAAUUUACACAGACAGGUGACAGUGGUAAUUUACAUGACAGGUGACAGUGGUAAUUUACAUGACAGGUGACAAUGGUAAUUUACAUGACAGGUGACAGUGGUAAUUUACAUGACAGGUGACAGUGGUAAUUUACAUAGACAGGUGACAGUGGUAAUUUACAUGACGGGUGACAGUGGUAAUUUACAUGACAGGUGACAUUGGUAGUUUACAUAGACAGGUGACAGUGGUAAUUUACAUAGACAGGUGACAGUGGUAGUUUACAUAGACAGGGGACAGUGGUAAUUUACAUAAACACACGAGAACAUGUACUAGCAAUGUAUGUCUUCAAGGUGACAGUGGUAAUUUACAUAAACAGGUGACAUUGGUAAUUUACAUAGACACACGAGAACAUGAACUAGCGAUGUCUGUCAUCAAGGUGAGAGUCGUAAUUUACAUAGACAGAUGACAGUGGUAAUUUACAUAGACACACGAGAACAUGUACUAGCGAUGUAUGUCUUCAAGGUGACAGAGGUAAUUUACAUAGACAGUUGACAGUAGUGAUUUACAUAGACAGGUGACAGUGGUAAUUUACAUAGACAGGUGACAGUAGUAAUUUACAUAGACAGGUGACAGUGGUUAUUUACAUAGACAGGUGACAGUAGUAAUUUACAUAGACAGGUGACAGUGGUAAUUUACAUAGACACACGGGAACAUUUACAUGAUGAACUAGCGAUGUAUGUCAUCAAGGUUGAGAGUGGUAAUUUACAUAGACAGGUGACAGUAAUAAUUUACAUAGACAGGUGACAGUUGUAAUUUACAUAGACACAAAGAGAACAUGUUCUAGCGAUGUCUGUCAUCAAGGUUAGAGUGGUAAUUGACAUUGACAGGUGACAUCGGUUAUUUUACAUAGACGGGAGAAUAUGUACUAGCGAUGUCUGUCAUCAAAAUGAGAGUGGUCAUUUACAUAGACACACGAGAGUAAGGGCAUGUAUGAUUAGAAUUCAAUACUUUUACAAAGUGAUAAUCCUAAAAUAUACCGUGCUUGAUGUUAAAAAUGUUAAACUGUCUGAAAAAUAUUGGCUGAAAAUGAACGAUGCUAUAGAAUAG